Molecule: non-coding RNA, 20544 nt
Organism: Taeniopygia guttata (zebra finch)
Lineage: Eukaryota; Metazoa; Chordata; Aves; Passeriformes; Estrildidae
Source: RefSeq, a predicted model, not a curated record
AGGCCCGCCCGCUCGGAAGGAUGCGCCGCUCGGAAGGAUGCGCCGCUCGGAAGGAUGCGCCGCUCGGAAGGAUGCGUUGCGCGUUCAGGUGGGCGCCCGGCGGGUGUGUGCCGGGACCUGGGGCUGGUCGCUGGGGCGGGCCGGGCGGUGCGGGGCCGUCCGUGGGGACGGGCCAGAGCUCGGGGGGAGGAGGAAGGGCGGUGCUGAGGUCCGCAGUUCUGCGCUCAGGUGGGGCGGGGCAGGGGCCACGGGAUGCGCUGGGCCGGCCGGGCAGAGGGGCCGAAGGUGUCCGGAGCCGCCCUGCCCAAGCAGCUGCGGCGGGACCGGGGCCAGCGGAGCCGAGCCGGCGGCCCCGGCUGUGCUGCGGGGGCGGGACACGCGUGGGGCCGGGACACGCGUGGGGCCGGGACCGACGGCGCUCCUGUGCUCCCACCGCCCUGCUCCCAGCGCUCUCCUCUCGGCUGGGACCGCGGCGGCUCCUGCUCCUCCGCGCUGCUGCUCCCUGAAGGCAGUGCUGGGCUCCUGCGCUACUUCUUCCCCGAAAACCAGAGGCUGCAGAAUUUGUCCGAGAUGAACAUCAGCCCCUGAAACGGCCUCGAAUGACUGGGAAAGGAAGCGGGGACGGGAAAGGACUUCGGGAGACACCCACUGAUGUGUCCCGUGUUGGAAUGUGCCCGGCAUCCCUUGUGGCUUUGCUCCACUGAUAGCAGCAAGGCUCUGGCAGCGUGAGAGAGGUCAUCUUUGGCAUUUAUUUAAAUACUUGAGUACAAGGCAUGGCAUGUAAAAGGACCACUAAGUUUAAAAUUUUUUUCCCUCAACUGUGGCAAUUCAGGAGUUAUGCCUGUGAAGUUGCUCUUGGGUAGAGCUGGUUGAACUUUCUUAAUAGAGUGUUUUCAGUCAGCAAGUGUUGUGUAAAAGAAAGCAUUUGUGGGAAUUUUUCAGUGUCAGCAAAGCUUCGAUUAGGAGCAUCCCUGUUUUCCUGCCAGUUUGCUUGGCUCCAUUGCUGCCUGCCUGGUGGGCUGCUGCAGAGCUGGGCCUCCAGCAUUUCUGAUUCUUGGUACUUUGACAGGCUGCUAGGAGAGAUGCCUGGGGCUUCAGGGAGCUGGAGAGGGGGGACUAGAACUAUCCACAGAAUUUUGUUCACCUUAUUCUUGAGUGUUAUGAGAAUAUGACAAAUGUGUAUGUGGGAGAAAAUAGUAUCUAAUGUUUUCCAUUAGGAUGGAAAUCUGUUUCUUAGAAAAAGCUCCUGUUCCUUGUGAUCAAAAAUGCCAUUUCUUGUUCAGGUCUAUUUCUACUCCCAAAUCAGUUAAAGCAGCUGGCAUCUAUCUAACUGCUGGACCAUCUCUGUUGACACAAUUGUUUUCUUAGGAAUCACCUUUCUGCCGUUGAUAAGGGUUUGAGCAAAGGAGGUGUCUGAAGCUAGUUAGAGCAUAAUUUCUACCACUGCAAAGUCCAUUACCCAGUGGGAAGUGAAGACGGAAUUGAGAGCAUUCAUAGGGUCUCUUGCCUGUGAAAACUUGAAAAGAGUUGGCUGUGAGAGCUGCUGUUCCAGAGUGAAAUAAUUAGUGCCCACCGUAUGGGACCAGAAUGAAUUAUUACUGUUUUACCUGCCAGUGUUCUGUGAAUUCAAAAACUGCUGUCAUGUGUCCUAGAAUAAUGACUGUGUAUGUAAUGUACUUUACGUUGCUAAAUGUUUAACUGUAUUUAAUGUUAAUUAUUUUACUAACCAUAGGAAUUCUUAAAAAAAAAUCCAUGGCUUUAGUUUCUAUUAGAACUGUUAAGCUCAUAUCCUUUAUAGAAAACUCGCAUUGCUAAUCUUAAAAUGCAUAAUUACAGGAAAUUACAUUCUGAACUAUGUAGCUUCUCAACCCAAACUGGUUCUUUUUGUCAUCAAGCUCUUAUUCAUAUCUUUUCUAAAAUUACAAAUUAGGAUUGCGUAAUGUGCUGAAAAAUCAGCUCAUCUUCAAAGACAUUAUUGCUGAUGUAAAAAAAAAAGUUUUGGCAGUAAGAAACAACUGUUCACUUCUGCCAUUUUGUUAGGUUUUUUUGUUUGGACCUCUUAAUUUAUAGCUAUGGGCAUGUUAUGUUCUUUGGUUUCAAACUGGGGCAGAAAAAGUGUGAAGUGCAUUGCUUGAAACAGAUUGUCCCAUAGGGAAAGACCAGGGUGGGUUUGCUGCCUGUGUGAGGUUGUGGGGUUUGAUGCCUCACAGAAUUCAUCGUGCUGUCACAGCUUUUUUUUGGUUUUCUUUUUCAGAACACUCCUUCAUAGUGUGGUUGUAAAAUAGCAACCCUUGUUGUCAAGCCAUUCUGUUUAAUGCUUUCAUUUUUCUUCAGCCCCUGUAGAAAGACAUUUCUGAUACAUGUCUGUGUGAAGGUUAAGCCUUUCUCCACUUCUGAUGAGAUAAAGCAAUGGGAAAAUUUAAGGGCAUUGUGGACCAUUGUCUAACAGGAAUGGUUCUCUCAGAACUGACUCAGGAAAUGGAUCUGGUUGAUUAUUCAAGACCUUCAGCAAAGCCUUGUAAAAGAGUUGCCUCAUUUCGUGACACCUCUUUGAAGGACAUACCGAUGUUUGUGUGCUCUUUUGAAGGAGUGGACGUGAAUCAAACUGGUGAUAAAUCAUAUUUCAUACACUGCUUUUGCCCCUGGCAUGUGCUCCUAUGGAACCAGGCUGGGACAGAAGUUCUUCAAGGGUCUCCAGAUCCCACUCUGUUCUUAUCCAAUCUCCCUGCAAUUUACCCAGGAAAAGAAAAUCGGGAUUGGCUUUGGUGGGCCUGGGAUCCUCUGGUGUUGAUGGAAAGCUCCAGCACCUCUUGCACAAUUCCUCUCCUCGUGAGGCAGCCAGAGCCUUCCCCUGUGGGUGUGUGGAGGAAGGAACAGCCCAGCACAACUGCCUGUGGUUUAUCAGACACAGCAGGUUUGUGCUUUUCCAGCUACAGGAUGGCAGGGAAGCACUGAGUAGUGCCCACCAUGAAAAAUCCAAAUUCACUGAACAGCCCAUGCUGAAUUAAAUAGAAGGGUUAUUUACAAGUAACUGUGUGGAAAGAGCAGUGUUCAAGUGUUCAUGGAGCAGCAUGUACAGAAACCUUUGUGGCUUUUGUUAAGCUGUUGUCACCUGACCAGCAAUGCAUCGCUUCCACUCCAGAGGAGAGAGUCAGUGGAGCCGAGCUCCUAAGGACUCUUUUCUUCAGAGCAGCAGUCAUGUCCAGUACAUAGGAUGAGAAACCUUUUAGGAUUUGAGGUAGAAAUGAGGCUUCAGUUACUUCCUCUGUUUUGCAGUGCCUUUGAUCUGGAAACUUUCCAGAUGCAUGAAGUAAUCAGAUUUCUCAAUCAAAUUAAUUUUUUUUAAAAUUUGGUCUACCCUUGCCUUCACAUGACUUAUGUACACACUGUCUGGGAGUGUCAGAUGGAGAAAACAUCCACAUCACUGUGAAAUGCUUCAUGGUGAAUAAAGAGAAGAAACUCCUCUAAGGCAGAUAAGAUGUCACACUUACUUCCUCCCUUUUCCACCUGUGUGACAAUAACUGUACCAGGAGAGGUCUGCACAGAAAUCUGUGCAGAAACUGCAUUUGCUCAGUUAAGGACAGAGCCUCCAGUAAGCACUUCUGGUUUUAUUUGGGUGGCAGUUCGUGGCUCAUCUGAACAUUUUGAUAAUACUUGCACUCUGAUUUCUUUUUUUUCCCCCUUUUCUUCUACAUAUUUGAACCAUUUGUACUUUUCAUCCCAUUUUAUAGUAGCAUGAGGAAAAGCUGUAAGACAUUUCCAAAUAUCAAGUUUAACUAAGAAACUACUUUAAAAAUAAUAAAAUACAAAGGCUACUUUUGCUUAUGUGAUUGACUCUGGUGUUGAGAAGCCAAAGAGCACACAGGUAUGGUGUUAGAGGGUACCAGAUGGUGUUUCUUCUCCAGGAAAAGGAAAAUGCCUCUUUAUUGUUUCCCCUUUUUUUGUGUUGCAUGAGAAAUGAGCAUCUUUCUAUGAGAUCAUGUGGCAAACCAACCUACCUUGGGUUAUUCUUCUCCUCAGGGAAUAUUUGGCUUGUCACCUGCAGUUCUAGGAGCCCUCAUAAAGACCCAGGUGAGAGAUCAGCGCUGUCAGGAUCUUUCCAUCCAGGUAAGGUGAGCCAUGAGAGAUGAGCAGCUUCCCUUUAGGAAUCUACAGUAGGGCUGGUACAGAUAUUUUGAAGAAAUCUGAUUCUUCAGAAGCUUUCAAGCUGUUGAUGAUAGCUUAUUUUUUCAAGGCCAAGCUGCUUAGGCUAGAAGGUCUUCAAGGUGUUAGAGACUUAUUCUAACUGCACAGGCUUUGCAGCUGCCUUCAGUUUAUACAGCCCCCUGCAGAAGUUAUUUCUGAGUGUCAUGGCACCGUGGCUGAAUUUAGUGCAGUAUCAGAACUACUUUGUAAAGUUGCCAGCACCCUUGGAAGCUCAGAUGAUUUUCUGAACUGCUGGGAUUUUAAGGAAAUUCAUAUUUUGAAAAAUAAAUCUAAUAAUUAGUAUUUAUUAGUAAUUGUGGUGAUCCUUUUAAAAACAGUUUUAUUUGUACAUGCUGUGAAUGCCUUUAUUUGUUUCCUUUACAAAUAAAUAAAUUCAUCAGUCCCAUCUGUUGGGAAGCACGGGCUGUGUGAGAGGCAGCAGAGUCAGCAGAGGGAGCACAAGGAAACGAGCAGGACUGUGCUGUGUGCGAAGGACUGGGGUGGGAGUGCUUCUGCUGAACAUGCAGUGAAUAAUCAGAUACCUGUUUGGUAUUGUAUAAAGAUUUCAUCUCAGGAACACUUCCAGGCUGCCACCACGAAUACUUAGAUGGUGAAUAAUAUGAAGUUAUUUCUAGAGGUGCAUAAACCUGUCAAGUGGGACUGAUCUGUGAUGUGAGGAGUUGUUUCUGUCUCCAACCCUGAAUUACAUUUUGCUGUUCAACUUUGUUUUAGUUAGUGUUUUGCUCUCCUGCUGUGCCAAUAAGCAAAUACUUGUGCACAAACAUCCCUCCUGAUCACUUCUGGAGGGCCAGGAGGGGAAGCAGGUGGGUGGAGGCUGCUUGUGCUGCAGUUUCUACACACAUGUUGGUGGCAUUAAGCUUCCUGCUUGCCUUGGCACUCCUUAGGCCCAAAACAAGGGAGAAGAUAUUUUUGAGAAAUACAUGUUUCAUUUUUAAGCAUGCUUAACCUUAAUAGUUAUGACAAAUUUUUAAAAUAUGUGCAUUUGAGACAGCAUUAAUAAUUCACAUAUUUUUCAUUAAGAAAAAGAACAAACUGUCUAUAGGGCCAUUAAAUUCUUACUUGGCUAAGAUCAUCAACAUUUAGAUGACCUAAAAUGGUACCUUGUUUGGGUCAUAAUAUGCCACUUGAAAAAAAAUACCCUGUGAUUUAGUUUUGAUUCUGACAAUACUCAAAAGGAUUUGUUAUGUCUUACUGACCUCUCUGCAAACUACUAAUGGGAUGAACACAAUAUAUCACUUUUAUAAUAGUGAGCUAUUAAAGGCACACAUAAAGCAGUCUGAAGCCCAUAAGUGCUGCCAACAGCUUCUGCUUUAAUGAAUUCCCUUUUAGAUGUCCAUUAAAUGCUCAUGGCAAAUGUACUCAUAAUGGAAAUGGCAAAUCUAAAUGGGUAGAUAUGAAUAAUCCAUGGAGUUUAAAUUCUGUUUAUGAUCAUCUUCACAUUUAGUUUUCAAGACAACGCAGUUUAGUUUUCAUUACAGUUUGGAAUAAAGAGGACAGGGAGUAAUUGAUUGCUUCAAGCAGAUUAAAAUCAAUGCGUUGCUUUUCAAAGAACCCAUGGAACGCAGUAAUUUCAACUUUAAACGUUGAUUUAGGGAACUCAACACAAAAUGUUUUGUGCUGUGUGAACUUUUAUGUAGAAAGACUAAUACUAAUUUUAUUUCUAUAUAUCUGUAUAUAGAAAUAUAUAGAGGUUGUUAUCAGUAUGUGCAUGAGUAAACAGUGAUCUAUAGUAAGUUAUUUUGGUAUUAUUGCACUCAUGUAGUGAAUCAAUGAGAUUCCCGUCAUCAUUGGGAUACUGUUUGUAAACCAUUAGCACACAGAAAUUACAACCCAUCAUACAUCAUUACUGUGAUUGAGGCUUUAUUACCAUAUUCUCAAAUUGCUUGCUUGCUAUAAAACUAAAUAGACACCAGACAACUAUAGGUAGACGAUAGACUGUGCCUUAUUGGGCUGGACUAAUGAAGGAUUAUUGUAGCAUAAUGGGGCACAACUUACGAGGAAAAUAAACUUGGCAGCAAAGGAAAGCUUGAGUGUUUUUAUUGUUUGUUGUUACUGCUUUAAAGGUCAAAUAUAUUUGUUAUGAUCGAGUUACUGUUUCCUUAUUUCAUGAAUCAUUCAUUUUUUGAGUUCUGCAUAGGCCUUGUUUUAUAUUUAAGCAUUUAAAACACAGGAACUUCACUGUGCCUUUCAGCUCCAGAGGUGGAUCUACAGCUUUGGGGGAGUGGUGUGGUUGUCGUGGUGCUGGGAUGAGGGAGAGCACGAACCUCUGCACACAUUGGUUUUGUGCUGGACAGGGGCAGGGAAGAAGAACUGCAUCAACAGACAUCAGCUGUUAAAUGUGAUAUAAGUUCUCCAAACACAUGGAGGUAAAGUAUCAAUUAGGAAUUUUGAGAGCUAUAUUGAAAGGAUUUAUGAUACCUUCAUUAUAAAAGAUGAGAGGGCACACUGAAUUUCAACUUGGGGAAUUUAGCAAUCUCUUGUGACAGAACCAAGGGCUUUACAGUAUGCACAGGAUAUAUUCAAGGUGUUACUUUCUCCAGCUACAGAAAAAAAAGUAUUUUAGAAAAUUGAAUUUAGGGCUUCUGACCAUGAGACAUGUAAAGAGGGAAGCAUUUCUUCAUACUCUUGUGAGAUUUCAGAGAUGGGUUCUGAAAGAGAAAAAGACAUAACAGUCUGUUAUGGUGGCAAAGAGGUGUCAACAUUCUUCAUCCUUUUUACUUGCCUCCUCAAAAGGAUACCUUCAUACCCUUCUGAAUUUGUGCUGUCUGUGCCAUCUUUCAACAAUAUUUGCUUCUGCUCUACUAGAGUUUUUAGAAUAUUACAGAAAAAUGUGGUAAGCUCCAUAUUUUAGUAAGACAGGAACAUGUUGUUUCUGCCAGUUAUGUUUAGCUGAAUUUUCGAAUGAGCAAGGGUUGUAAACCUUUGGGUGCUGAGGUGUUGGGAGAGCAGACACCUUAAGGCUUGGCUACCUACAGGCAUAGAUUGCUGGAAAAGGUAACAGACAGUGCUAAAACUUCUGUAAAUUAUUAAAAUAUUUCUGUGAGUUGAUGUAUUGCUAUGUACCUGACAAUUCCAGUUUUAUUAAUAAUGAUAUUCCAUAUUUUUUGCAUGAAAGCUUCUGGAGUUCUUAAUGGGGACUAGUGAAACCAUACCAGGAUAGAGUACUCAGUUGCUGAGAGGCAGUGAACAACUUGAUGUGCAUUCACUUUUGCCAGGGGUUUUGGAAACACAUGCUUUUUAAUAAAGUACAUUUGACAUUUCUUUGGCUUCCAUUUGGCAUGAAUUCACAUUUCAUUUCAGUUCUGAAAGUAGAGGCAAUGUCUCUAAACCACAACACAUCAUUAUGCACCAGUCCAAAUAGGAGGUAAGGAUAGGGGAGGAAAUGAUUGUUGGGUUGUAUUUUAUACAUGCUUGACAAUACAUAUGUAUUGUUUUUUACUAGGAUAUGUACAAUAAGAGCAUUCUAGGUUGAGAAAUGGUCAAAACAUUGCCGAUAUGCAAUCUAGACACAAAAUACUGCUUCUCACGAGUAGAAUGCGUCAGACCUGGAAAACUCGCAGGGCUUUUGUCUGAGUUUGCAGUGAGGCCCCUCUUGUGGGCUCCCAGCUCUGCAGAGUCCUGCCACAGCUGGGAACGCUCCUGCAGCUUCCCUCAUUAGACAGGGAACUUCCUUGGCUCAAGGAAAAACCCUUUGAAGUGACAAUGAUGCUAUAAUGUACCCACAGAAGAUUGUGUGGUUCCAUUAUCUCCAUAAUGGAGGCUGGUUUGGAGAGAGCUUCCCCUUUGUCCUUUCAUCAGGAAUUGGUUUGUUCAGUGCUCAAUGAAUCAGUUCUGAUUUCUUCAAAGAGAUGUCUGUCAGGGAGUCUGAGUAUUCUGGAGUAAUCAUUGUUAGGCAAUGUUCUUUUCUUGAGUUUAAGAGAGCUGUAAUUAUAAACAUCUCACUAUUUGGGUUUUUAAUAGACAUGAUUGCCACAGCAAAUGUGUUCAGCUGUUAGGUUUGAAGAAUACAUUUCUAUUAGCUUUUAGGCAGAUCUUUCAUGUAGUUGCAGAUAGUGUCUCUAACUUUAUGAUAUGUCAAUACCAUUUUUCUAUAAUCAUGCCGUCAUAAUAAUGGUACCAUUUAUACAUAAAUAUUUUAGAAUGCUGCAUGAAGUCAUCCAUUUUUAUUUGUGUUAAAUCUCUUCAUGCAUAUUUGGUAAUUCUUAUAUAGAUGUGUUCUCAUUUAAUCAGUAGAAAUUAGAUAAUUUGCUAAUUUUUCAGAAAUUGUGAAGUAUGUUCAAUCACUCUUUUUAAUAAAUUAUUAUGGUUUUAAAUAUUUUUUAAGACAUUUCAUUUGGAAGUAUCACUCAGGUUUUGACUAUUAGAUUUAACACAACUGCAUUUGGUUUGCUCAUCAAAAGUGGAGAGCAUUUAAUAUUUAUUCAUAACAAAAGUAUUAGAGAAGCUGUCAAUAAAUUUUCUGUCAUAAUUGAAUCAUUGGAUAUCUAAAUUGUUGAUAAUAUGAUCUGCUUGUUAAACAAAAGUGUCUGGAGAAAAUGAUGGAUUAAUUGACUGAUGGCUAAGGUUUCUCUCAAAUAUAAUGGUUUACCCAGUUUGAUUUGAUUUGUGUAAAAUAACUUUCUCUAAUAAACAAUUUGCUCAGAGGCAAUAGAAGAAAUGAAUGGUUAUCAAACCAAACUUAAUUAGUCUCUCCUAGAUUGAUAUUACUUGGGGAGUCUUCGUUUUAAUUGUGGAGAGCUGGAUACAAAGAGUUUGGUUCAUUAUAUUUUUCCUGUAUAAACACUAUUGCGUAACUACUUAUGGAAUAUAACAUGUAAAUUCAUUUUAAUAAGUGCAUGUAAAGUGGGUUAGCUAAUUAUGCCAGGCUAAAAAUGAUUCCUUUAAUUAUUUUACAUAUUUAACUAGUACUUCAAUUUUAUUAUUGUUAGUCUGUAAACAUAAUUUGUAUUAGCUCUGCCAAACUAAUUAGAAUAUACAACUUAAACAGUUUUAAUAGUUUUGUAAUGCUCAUAAUGCACUCUUCUCUUAAAAAUACAUUUCUAUUCUAGAAAUAUUCAAAUAAUAAAGACAUUUUUGGCAUAGAAAGAUUUUUAUAUAUGAGGAAGAAUACCUUUUCCUCAAAAAUACAGUUUCAGAAAAGUUAAUGUGGUUUGAGACUCUGGAAUAUUUGAAGGAAAUAUCUGAAGAAAAACCUUUCUUUUCCUAAGAGAUGUACUCAAACUAAACAUAAAUCAUUGAGUAACAUAAUUUUGUGGGAUUCCAGACUGUUUUGUUGUCCAUGGAUAAAACAAACCACAAGUACAGUUGCAUUUCACCCUUUCAAAGGUUAAGCACAGCACAUACUUAAUUGUGUUAGUAGGUGAGAAUCUGCAUGUUCAGAUUAUGAAGAGUUGCUCUUAAAGGCUUCCAGUGAAUUUAAGGUAAAUAAAAUUUACUCUUUUCUUUGAAAAAAAAGAAUUUUCAAAACAUCUGUAGAAGCUUUACAAGAUUUUAAUAUAAAAUGUACGUGAGAGGGCUGUUGUUUGAAACUGAGUAAAUGUGGAAAUCAAGACAUUAGUGAAGAGUAAUUUGGGUGUUCUUAGUGAUAUUCAUUCAUGAUUAAUCUUGGGUUUAUAAACCCAGAAAUUAAUCUGGAUUAUUGUUUCUUCUCACACAUUAAGUUUUGAUUUUGACAAUUUGUUGCUUUAGUUUUCCUUAGUGUAGGGAACUACAGAAAACUGAAAAUGCAGGGGGAAAUAAGGAACAUCUUUUAGUUUCAUCUGUGCAAUCACUGAACGUAGGUAUGCUCAGACUUGGGGACAUGGAGCCUUCUGAGCAUAAAUUGAUGCCGUGAGCCUGAGCUGACACAUAGGUGACAGUGACAGGAGCCUACUGCAGACUGGCACAUUGGGAGCAUCUUUGGGAACAACACUGAGCAGAACCUCUGGUACUCUCGGGUAACGUGUUCUCAGGAGUUCUCUCCGAGACUCAGACACUUUGGUUUCAUUAUCUCCCCUCUGUCAGGCCAGCAGAACCCCCACUCUGUACAGGUGUCCUGCACUCCUCACUGCCAUGGCUCUCCGGGACUUUCACCAGCGUUUGGGGAGCAAGACAGUAAGAAACAUGGGAAUGAGAGCUUUGGAAUAUAGUAGGUUGAUGAAAAUAAACUUAAACAGUAAAAUAACAGUAACAGUAACAGUAAAGUUCUACAGUAAAGUUUUACAGGAACAGUAAUAUAAACUUAAACAGUAAAGUCCCUGGGCAUUAUUUAUGUAUCAACUUUAUCAGUUAAAUCUCAAUGAAGUCACAGAGAGUCUCACAACCACCUUGAGGUUCCUCCAGCUGUGACUCAGCGGUGCAGCAGAGAGGCCACGUGGCCACCUAACCAAAUCCAGAUGUCAGAUUCUGCUGAAAACACUGAGAGCACGAGGGCAUCUCCGUUCCUGCCUGGGGUGCAGGGAGGGCGUAGUAAAUGUCAUUAUUAAACACUCAUUGAUUUACACAUAAAAUCCAGUGAUGCUGAGGUAGGGAUCAUAAUCCCUCUCCUGAUUAGUUGUGGCAAGAACACCAUGGAGAAAAGUGUAGCAAGAUUGUGUGGCAGUUCCAACUAAAUGUGUUAUUUUAACGAUUCUUAGCAAUGAUUUAUUUUCCUUGGUAAUCUAUAAUAUGUUCCUUUACAAGUCAUUAUUUCAUUAGGCAAUUUUACUCAUUCUGAAAUAAAAAAAAAACCCAAACCUUUAUUUACAAAUUUUCGCCUUACAGCCAGGAAAUAAGGAUUCUUUGACUUUUGCAAGCCUUUAUGAGACUCAAGGUAGUUAGUGAUUUUUAAUAUAGAAGAAAACAAGUAUAGGGCACAAAAAAAAUUUUAGUUGGAUCAGAAAUGCAAGGUUUAUCCUAAAGCAUUUACAAGUUGGUAUCUGAAUUGAAGUAUUUAAGAAAUAUUAAACAGUGUACAAGCGAACAGAGGAAGUGAUUUUGAAAUAUUUAAAAUUCUUAGGAAAAAGCACAAAAAUAAUAUAUGUUAAAAUUAUAUUAAACAUUUAUAAUGUUAAAUCUUAAAGCAAAGGUAAGCACAAUUUUCAGAUCAAGUUUUGAAGUUGUAAUAUUACAGAGAUAUGUGUAAUGUGUUUCACUGAGGUCAUGUUAUUCUGAACUGGGAUGUUUCACUUCACUGACUGACAUGUUCCUAUGGUGUGAUUCAUGCUGAAUCUUUGUAAUCUCUAUUGAUAUCCAAACACACUGUGCUUUGUUAGAUUGCCAUGUACCAAAUCUCAUGUUGGUGUUACAUUACCAUUCCACUAAAAUGUAUAGCAAAAGUAGUGAUGGUUAUUUAAUAUUUUUAUUCUGAUUGUUUCAGCUACAGAGUUUCAACACACACUUAGGAGGAGUUGUGUUACUCAUUGUGCUUCCCAAGGAGUAUGUUAUGGGAGCAGUACAUUUCUCAUUCAAUAUUUCAGGUAACCAAUGCAAAAGUGUUCUCUGCAUCCAGUUUUCUCUGUUACUGCACUAUUGGGUUGUGGGCCUGGCUGACAGUUUGUCCUUGAUAUCUUAUCUGCUUGACAAACCAAACAACUUGUUAUUGUAUUUUAGUCAAGGUCCUUCCUGGACCCUCCUCAAGACUCCCAUCAAAGUCUUGUGGGAGCAAGGUAAAAUUAAAAAAAAACCCCAAGAACAACAAUGUUUGCAUACAGCAAACAGCUCCUAAUUUCUUUGUAGUAAUUUUGAUUUGAAAACCAACCAGAUAGUUAUUAAUUAGAAGAGUAACAACUUUGGUUUUGCUGCAUUUUGUGGGUUUUUUAUAAUCUGUGGUGGAAACUGACUGCAUUUUGUUAAUAUUCCUAGCUUGAUAUUAAAGCCUAUCACAGAAUCACCAUCCUCGUUCCUGCCACACCUCCUGGCACCUCUCAGUGCAGUAACUUUGAUCUUUCUGUACACAUGGCACAGCUCUGACAGAAGCCAGCCUUGAAACGGCCAUUCAGAACCCCGGCAGUAUAAAGAGAUCCUUUCCUCACUCUAGCACCUGUGAAUCUCUAUUUAUGCUCAUGCAUUCUAAAUGAGAGCAAUCUUUUGGAGGUCAAUUGGCAAGGUGGGCCAAAACUUUAAAGGUAACCUGCUGGAAUAAAUUCCUUUGGUUAAACCAAACCAGUGUUUACGCUUGACUGUCUUGGUACUUUAUUUGAGAUCUACCUUUGUGGUUUAUUCUAUAGUUACUCGCAGGCUUCCAAACCCUACAGGUUUGGUUCUAACACUUGACGCUUUCAUGCUCAGGAUAUUAGUAACUGUUAAGAAGGCUGAAGAAAUCAGUUAGAUUUAGGAUUGUUCUUGGUAAGUUUAUGAAUUAACUAAUAUUGUCUGGUUGACUGGAGCAGCAGCAGUCUGGAUAAAAAGCCCUGUGAAGCCUCUUACAGGGCUGUGUUCUGCAUUCCUCUGUUCAUGUCUCUAUAUAUCCAACAGUUUAAAAUGCUACAUAGAUGAUUAGCAGUAAGUUGAGCUUGAUUUAGAGGAUCAUUAUGAUGUCUUUUUGUUACCUGUAUACUGACUUUGCAUUCAGUAGCAGCUGUAAAAAUAAACUUCUCUUCGUGGAUGAAGUUCAGAACAGAAUAAGAACAAUCCUUGUAAUACUUCAGUCAUAUAGUAAAUGGCAUUUGGGGAUAAAUAGAGGAGGAGACUGCAAGCUUUAAUGGAAAAAGGAUUUUUAAAAGGAUUGUCUCAAGCAUAGUACAAUAACUCUUGAGAUAAGGAAGGGGGUUAAAGAUGCACAAGUGAAAGAGUGCGCUCUUACCUGUUGCCAAGUAUUUUUUCAUGUAUGCAUUACAGGUCUUUUUUGUAAUGGUCAGUAUUGCCCUUAUUGUGUUCUAUUUACAUGUCUGACUUCUUGUUUGGAUUUUACUUGGUGAUUUGGUAUUAAUUUUUAAUGUGAAAGCACUUAGCAUUAGGAGUUUGACAUUUUGUCUGACCUUAAUCAUCAAGAGGAUCAUGAGAGGUUUAUUCAGUGGGAAGAGAAUUGUUACAGCUCCGACAGAAAUGAUGGGAAAUAAGUAAACAGCCUUUUAAAUCUUCACCAGAAAUCAAUAGAGCUUAAAGAUGAUGGACGUUGGUGUUUUUUGCUGUUUAAGGACUUCAACCUUUUACGGGAAAAUAUCUUCUCAGAGUGUCAGCGUUUUUUUGCCCAGCACCAUGAAUCACUGCUGCAAAUAGAACACUCUGCAUAGAGCACUUGAUCUUUGUUACACAGAUGAUGUUAUAGAUCUGUCUCUCUCUGAUACUGCAGAUGUUUAUAUUUUUACACAUAGAGGUGUGGUGCUACUUCAUAACAUGGCUAAUUAAUGUAUGGUCAGCAAAGUAAUUAUGUAAUAAGUAAUUAUUUUUGAUAGUACUUAAACUGACGAACUCCUGGUUUUAUUCUAUAAUUAAAGUCUGCUAUUUAGAACUUUUCCAGUUUUAUAUUCUUCCCUGUGUCUAUAGAAAUACCUUCCUUUAAGUGAGAGUUCUCAGCUUUUAGUAACUGGGAGUAAGAGUUCCUCUGAAGUCUUUGUGUCAGCAGGCCUUUCUGAGCCAGGCAGAUUUUGAGCAGUAGCAUAGCAAAUUAUGUACUUUGGCUUUUCAUGAAUGAUUUAUUAGAUGUUAGGCUGAUACAGUAGUUAGCAAUAUAUGCAGAAAGAGCACUAUUCAGACCCAAGUAUUUGUACAUUUGCAUCAUCAUAAAUCAUUUGUUGUGCUAUUUGGGGUUUUAUUAUAUAGUAUUGGAUUCCAUUUUAAAACAACUAAGUAUACAGUAAAUUAUAUUCAAAUAUAGUAAAGUUGCAGUUAAAUAGUAAUUGAGAACUUGACUUUCAAGCUUUCAGUUAAUUUGUUUGCAUCCUUAUGCAGCCAUUUACUCAGAAUAAAGUGAAGAGGAUUUAAUUUUGAUUUGUAGACAACCUUUUAUAUUUAAAAUAACUGUAGUGACUGUAGUUUUAUGCUAAUAUCUAAGCAUGCCACAUAUACUCUUAGGCAAAAUUGUCCCCUAAGACCUCGUGAUAUGAAGUGAUCUUUGAUUUAAGGCUGCAGCACUUUGGCUACAACUGUGUUCAAUGAUUAUUAAAGCGGAGUUAUUACAGAGCAGCUGAUGGAAUUUUUUCGGUAGUUUAUCUCAAUUGAUUACUCGUAUCGAGUACAGAGUGGCAAACAUUUAAAGCAGUUCCUCGUGUUCCUGGCGCAGCAGCCAGGCCCUGCACUGCGCUGGGCUUGGAGCUGCCCUGGGAUGCAGGGAUGGAGCCGGGCGGGAAUGGGGAUAGAGCCGGGAUAGAGCCGGGAUGGACGCAGAGAAUGGGGCAGGGAGCCCGAGGCUGGGAUCCCCGGGGCGGAGGCUGGAGCCCUCCUGGAAUCACCGGGGCUGUUCACCUGCAGGAAAGGGGGCUGCGUACAUCCAGGCAGCGUUUGGUUGUUUCCUUAGCCAGCUAAUGCAUUGCAGGAUGCCCAGCUUUGAGAACAGUGCCCAGAACAGAAGGAAAAUCUUCCAAAUAACACUGCUCUGUAGACAUUUUCCUGCCUUUCAUCUACUGUGUGGAUUAUGAGGGCAGUAGGUAAUGUUGCUUUCACUUAACAUAAAACUAAACUAGCAGAGAUGGCAGGGAUACUUCAGGACUGAAACCUUAUUUUUGGAUCACUUUGACGUCCUUACAUACAAAUAUUCCUUUUAAAUAAGUCAAAUUACACAGCAAAGAAGCACAGAAGAGGGAAAGAAGCACAUAAUGCCCUCUCUUUACUUCUUGUUAAGUUGUUUAGUUGAUCUGGGCCUAAAUUUUCCACUGUUAAGCAGAUUAUUUUUGUUUACUUUGUUGUCAAUUUUUAUAUAGUUAGAGAUUUCUUCUCUGUGAUGGCAGGCUGAAGUUUUGCCUUUACUUCUCUUUCAUUGUUUUAAGAGGACAGACACAGACACCAGAUGCUGGGUCAGAGACAUUUCUUUCAGGGCCAGAAGUUUGGACUUCUUUGGAGGUUUUCCUGGGAUAACAAGAACUUUUCUUCAUUUUUCAGCCUUUAAGCAUCAUAUAAUUUUUGGCAUUUUAAUAUUUGUCACGUACUAAUUCUGAGUAUGGAUUUUCUUUAACAGCCUUUUCUUGAUGAUUUUGUAUAGCUUUACUAAAGAUAAAAAAGCUUUCUAUGGAUUGAUUAACUAGUGAAGGCCACACUAGCAAGCUGUAAGCUUGAUUUUUUCAAUUUGUUGCUUUCCUUUUUCAACCCAUUUAUGAAGAUUAUAUUGCCUAAAAAAGGUCGCUUCCUUUGGCCUGUCCCUUUGCAAAUGUGAAGUAACUGUGUGGAUGUUAAUCCUCUCUGCUUUACCUUGGUUGCAGCUCCUAGAGAGAGUCCUUCAAAGCAGCAGGGAUGUGCAGCAGGGCUGUAGACAUAUAAUGGAGCCUUUCCUGGCUGUCUGGGGAGCCCUGGGAAUGCGGGCUGGGAUGGGACAGGAUUGAUCACCAUGUGUGGAGGAGGGGACAGCUAAAAUUGCUGGGCAGGUAAAAGAGCUUUUUAAAUUAAUGGUGUUGCCGGCCCAGGAUCAAAUGGAUAUGGCUAUCAAACACCUUUGGUUAGAAAUUCAAAACAUACAGGCUCAUCUAGAAGAGCCUCCCAGGAGGGGAAUUAUGGAGGCAAAAUUAUUAACGGAUUUUGAAAUUAAAUUUGAGUGAUUUAUAAAAGGAUUAAGGGACAUGGUUGCCUGUAUUGGUACAAACUGUAUUCAGCAUCCACAAGAUUCCUUCUAGGUAUUUUAGGUCUCUUUAGAGACUUUAUCUAUUCUUUAACAUGAUUGAAUAAUGUAGAAGUUAAUUUUGCAUUUCCCGUUUAAAAUCUUGUGUUAAUACUUGUGAAUCUAUGAACUUAGAGUAUAACUGAUGAGAUUUCUGCCUCAUUUUUCUAUCUGAAAAUUACCUCUAGAUGACAUGUUGUCCAUCUGGAGAGCAAAGGAAGGUAGGACUCGUGCAGAAGGCAGUGGUGUCCCUGCCGAUGGUGCAGCCUUGCUGAUGUAGCUGGGGAGAGCAGCUGGUGGGUGCUGCUGCUCCUUCCGCUGCCUGGUUUCACUUCUGAGCCCACGGUGAUUGCCAUGUGCACAGCGAGUGCAGUGCGGAACUAAAAGAGGAUUUUCCUGACCUGUGCUCUGUACUGUAAGUGAAACUGAGUUUGAGCAGGCUCUGCUGCUCUGCAUGCACCCCGAGGCUCUCCGGGACAUCCCCGCGCUGCCUUGGCUGCAGCUGAGCAGAGACAGCGCCAGACAAAGCUCUGAGCUCCCAGCACUGCCCUGCUCGCCCUUCUCUGGGAUGCUGGGUGUGCAUGUCGGGCUGCAGGGUGAGGCUGUGCACUCGCUGUGGUGCUGAGGCCCUUCUCUGGGAUGCUGGGUGUGCACGUCAGGCUGCAGGGUGAGGCUGUGCAGUCACUGUGGUGCUGAGCCCCUUCUCUGGGAUGCUGGGUGUGCACGUCGGGCUGCAGGGUGAGGCUGUGCACUCGCUGUGGUGCUGAGCCCCUUCUCUGGGAUGCUGGGUGUGCACGUCGGGCUGCAGGGUGAGGCUGUGCAGUCACUGUGGUGCUGAGCGGGAAGCUCGCUCUGGUGGUUCACACUGCGACCUAUGUGUGGAGUGUGCAAGAAGGUCCUACUUUUGCUGAUCUUCGGGAUAAAGUCACUGAACUGCUCAUUUAUGAUGUCAUGCUUAUCUUCCCUUGCCUUGUAAGUGGUUUGUUACCGUAAUUUUCAGAUAUCUUUAAAAUUCCCGUCUCUUGUGCUUGCGUAUCAUUAAUGAGACUCCUUUGCUGCAUGUUUCAAUUCAGUGUUGCAGAAGAAGGGACUGAAAAUGGAACCAAGUGUUGAUCCUUCCUCAAUGGUAAUUUUGUUGGAUAUUAAUUGGUAACUUGUUUUGGAUUGACACACAAUUAUUGAUCCCUGGAUUUAAUAGAAUAGAAGACGGGAAGCAAAAGCCAGCAGAAAGAACACGCAGAGCAGUAGAGCAGUGUGUUCUUUGAGCAAGCAGGGCCGUCACUCUGACAUUGCCACCCAGAGUGACAGGGUGGGUGUCAGGGGUGGGUGUCACUGCCACCCAGAGUGACAGGGUGGGUGUCAGGGGUGGGUGUCACUGCCACCCUGAGUGACAGGGUGGUGUAGGGGUGCGUGUCAGCACCACGUGUGGUGCUGGAGGUCCCUCCUGUGUCAGGGAGCUGCUGGGAUCACGCUGUACAUCUUCAUCAGCCAGGCAGGCACAGCAGCCUCGUAUUCCCAUGAGCUGUGGCCAGGCCAUAAUUAACCUUGUGAACUCGGAUUUCCAACAGAAUGUAAAAUCAGCUCAGGUUAUCAAUUACAGUCACACUCCAUUGAUGGUUGCCAAGAAGAGCUUCUUAGGAAGAAAAAGACAUUAUGAUUUGCUCAUUUCUUCAUAAAGUAGCAAAAUACGUUAUCAUUCAUUAAAUCAUAAAUCUAAAUAAUAGCUAGUCCAUAGAUUUAAUAUCACCUUACUUUGGUGCAUUACUCACAGGUUAUGGGCCAGUACCAUGUCUGUUAUUAGCAAAGCUCACAAGUAAUUUUGCUAUAAAACGGAAUUAGGAAAUGUUUUAUAAAAAGAAAUUACUACCCUUUAAAAUAAGGCAAUUUUAUCAGUGUUUUGAGUUUUUAAUGUAAUGUUUAAUUUAAUUAAAUUGUUUUUAAUUUAAUGUUGUAAAUGCUUAACCCUUCAGUCUGGAAAACUAGUUUUACAUAAUUCAGGGACUUCAGAGUUCAUAUAUUUGUUGUGACUUUUAAGCAUAAUCAUUAAUUAAAAGCAGUAUUUGAGAUUAUGAUCUGUUGAGUCUAUUGAUUGUUCUCAACUGAAUUUAUACCUUUUUAAUACUAGUCAGUGAUGGUGCUUUAUAACAUCAAUGUUAAUCAGUGUUAAUAGCUCAAUGUUUAUAGGUACACAAUUUUAUAUGCAAAACAGAUUAUAAUCUAGUUAGAUUUAAUUUUUUUGUUCUUACACAGUACUGUAUGAAUAUGCAGAGUAUUUUUAAACAAACUUCUUACAUUUGUUUUUCCUAUAAUGUACUUCAUCCAUCAUAAAAAUGAAUGAGAUUAUCAGUCAGGAACUGACUGCUUUUUCUUAGUUUGAUUGCUACUGUCAAACUAAAACACUGUCCAGUGUUUUAAAAAUCUGGAAGGAUUCCCCUUUAAGAGUAGUUUGUCACUAUUACUCUAUAAACACAGGGAGUAAUUUAUCUGUCCACCUAUGCAAUAUCUUAUGAUGGAGGAAAAAAUCCUAUUACAUGUCCAUAAUAUAUAGAAGAUCUUUAGAGUGCACUUCAAUAUUUCUUAUUUGCUCUUUUCUCUUGUUAGUAUUGCAAAUUUUAUUUUCAAGCCUACUUAAACAAAUAAACACAUAAUUACUAGAAUAUGUCAUCUUUGAAAGGCAAUAAAUGUUGUUUUCUUGAGAAGAUUUGUAACAUACUUUUGCUCUUUCACAUUUACUGUCUUUACCUGCUAACAGUAGCCACAGUCCAUGCAUGAGCAAUCUUUACUCAAACAUCUCUUAAUCCUUUUCCUUACUUCAUUUUCUGUAAGUAUAGGUUUGUUAACUGCUUGCAAGAUAUUUUGGUCAUAUUUUUAAUUAAGGCUGUCCAUCAGAAACUGAGGAAAGGGCCUUUAGAAGACCAUUUGUCCUCACAAGGAAAGUGCCCGAUAAAAUUGGGUUGUUUUUUUUUUACCAGCCCACAAUUUAAACACAGUCUUACUAAAAAACAAAAACAAAACAGCAUGAACCUCAUGUAAGCAUAAUUCGUCCAUGGUACAUGAAUUCAAAGUGUUAUAUUUCUUUCUGUAUCCUUACUUUUUAGAUUUGGGAAAACAAAUUAUAUUUAAUUCUCUUUAAAGAAAUUACUGAUCAUAUGGAAAAAUACUUGAAGUGUAAAAUUCAGGUAACAUAAAUUUUUGCCUAAAAAACCCCUCAAACCAGAAAAUUAUUUCAUUGUGCUUCCAAUCAGUAUUGUCUGUUUCCAUCCCAGCUAUGGGCAGGGGUUCCCUGCCCACUCGGAGAGGUCUGUCCCGACUCUGGCUCUAUUCCUCAGAAGGGCAGCACGGUUUGCAGAAGGUGUGACAGGAUUUUGUGUGCAAGUGAAGGGAUGUGCUGAGGUCUGAGGGAAUCAUGGAUUUUAUGUGUCUGGUUGGAAUUCCAGAGGGCUGUAUGAAAGAGCUGACAGAGGAUUACCAUCUCCAAAUACAAGGGCAACAAAAGGCACCCAAAUUAAAUUCUGAAUCUUUGAAACCAAUUCAAAAAUAUUUUAUUACUUGUUGAAUUUCGUUCUCUGUCAUUCCUUUCUGUCUUUUUCUGUCCUUCUGCUGAACAAAUGACUUUGUAAUAUAUUUGCUAAAGGAUUCUGAAGAGUUGCUUGAAUAACAGUAUAAGGUGCAGUGUUAAUUAUCCCUCUCAAAUGCAUUUGCAUGUAGGUAAUACCUGUAUUAUGCAAAUAAAACUCUUCCAAUUUCCUUUUUAGCUUCUGCAGACAUAAGCUGAAUCUUGGAUAACAGGAUUCUUUAGUGUGGGUUUGGAUUUUUUUCCUCCUCACAUCUUAAUUAGGAAAGGGAAAGGAUAAUUGUACAAAAUACAAACUAGAUUUCCAUAUCUGAGCAGUAUUUUCUGGAUUGUGCUUUUGUAACAAUAUUUAAGAUACUUGAAUGGAACAGCACGUUGGCCUAAGCCUUGGAAACAAUGAGUACUAUUAAUGCUAUGGAAAUCAGCAGAACCUGAAAAUCGGAUUCCUUAACAAUAGGAUCAAUUCUCUUGCAUUGGAAUCAAAAAAGUUCUUUAAUUCUCAGGUUUAUCAUUUCACAUUCUUAAAGUUCAUUUCUUCCCUCAUUCUGAGGGUGAUUUAUUUUGGUUGCUCUGUUAUAGAUGAAGUAGUUUCAUCUUUCAACCUCACUGCAUUUUCUCUAGGAUUUCUAUCACUUAAGACCUCAAAAUAAAGGUGAGAGAAGAUGAAUGUGUAUAUGGAAGAACCCUCAGCUGGACCCAGCCCCAGGUAUCUGAAACUUUGCAGUUUCUCAAAGUUUAAUGAAUGUUUACUGUGCUCAGCAGAGCAAUCUGAAAGGUCAAGUGAAAACCAAAGGUUUUAUUCCACCGAGCUUCAUCACUGUGACACUUCUGGUAUUACAGUGGUGGAGCAGCCGUGUUUUGUAAGCAGAUGAGAGUGCUUUGCUCUCCUCAGGUGGUUGGCACGUGUGGGGAUGGACACAGGCAGAGCUGACACACCUGUCUGGCUGGCUGGGCUAUUCUUGCAUGGCCUUUUUGAGUCUGUGUGUUCCUUUAAAGAAUCCAAGACAAAAACAUGCUCUUAUAAACUGAGUGUAACAGUACCAGGUGGCUGUGUAAGGCA